UGAAAACGUGUUUAGAGAGAGAGUGAAGAAUGAGGGUGUACCUGGCGGAGCCACCAUCCUCUGCCACUUCUGAAACAAGCAGGUCUUCAGGCAGUCUCGGGGACUGAGGUUUAGAGACGGGAUUUCACCGUGUGUCCAGGAUGGUCUCAAUCUCCUGACCUCAUGAUCUGCCCACCUCGACCUCCCAAAGUGCUGGGAUUACAGGCGUGAGCCACCACGCCCAGCCUAGAUGAGGAAACCGUGGCAAAAACAGAUGAAAUAAGUCAUCUGAAGCCAUACAACCAAGAAAUUUCUGGCAAGAACUUCUGGCAGUCUCCUGUUUCCCAGAUGCCCGGCUCCUCACUGACGUGCACAUAACAGCAAAUCUAUAACAAUCCUCCUUCCAAUUACAUCAGGUGGUGGGGGGGGGGGCGCGAGCAGGAGGGCAUAAGAAGGUCAGUACCCUAGAAGGCAGCCUCAUUUACUCAUCCACUAAGAAAAUAAUGACUGAACACCUACCAGGUUCCAGGCACUUGGGAAAAGGCAGUGAGCAAGACUGAUGAAGGCCCCAGCCCGCAAAGCCUCAUAUUCAAAAGCUGGGACAGAGAUGAGAGAAAAGUAAAGAAAUAAACAAGACAUCCUGGAUGGCGAUAAAUGCCAUGAAGAUAAUAAAACAGGGUUAUGUGAUAGAAAAUGGCCAGAAAUGAGGAUAGCAGGUUUGAUGGAGGUCUUUUCAAGAGGACAUGCAAUCAGGACCCAAUCAUGCAAUGAUGUGUGGGAAGAACCUUCCCAUAGGCCGGAGGGAGGGAUGGGCUUGGUUUAUGUGACAAAGGCUAAGUGGCUGUAGCAGAGAGAACUAAGGGAAGAGAAGCAGAGGCUAGAUGAUGGUGAGCCUUAUAAUCGAUUCAAAGACAUUCCAAGUAAGUGCAAAAGGAGGCCAUCAGAGGGGCCCUUGUGGACAUUGCAAUACAAUGUUGAAGUCCAAAAACAAUAGUCUAUUCAUUGACCUACCCUUAUUUCCUAAACUCUAAAUAAUGCUCAAUAAUUUUUUUUUAACCAAUUUACAAAUGGUUUUUUUACUUGUGCCUUCGUUUUGUUUUUGUUUUUUGUUUUGUUUUGUUGUUAUACUUCUAGCGUACAAUGUGCAGGUUUGUUACAUACGUAUACAUGUGCCAUGUUGGUGUGCUGCACCCAUUAACUCAUGAUUUAUAUUAGGUAUAUCUCCUAAUGCUAUCCCUCCCCCCUCCCCCCACCCCACCAUAGGCCCCAGUAUGUGAUGUUCCCCACCCUGUGUCCAAGUGUUCUUAUUUUCACUUCCCACCUGUGAGUGAGAACAUGCGGUAUUUGGUUUUCUGCCCUUGUGAUAGUUUGCUCAGAAUGAUGGUUUCCAGCUUCAUCCAUGUCCCUACAAAGGACAUGAAUUCAUCCUUUUUAUGGCUGCAUAGUAUUCCAUGGUGUAUAUGUGCCACAUUUCCUUAAUCCAGUCUAUCAUUGAUGGACAUUUGGGUUGGUUCCCAGUCUUUGCUAUUGUGAAUAGUGCCG
RNAcentral lists this long non-coding RNA (1521 nucleotides) under Homo sapiens (human). RNAcentral describes it as "HSALNT0069667". The record is from RNAcentral. Lineage: Eukaryota; Metazoa; Chordata; Mammalia; Primates; Hominidae.